GGACACCGCAGUCACCAAGGGAGUCACACACUCCAGUGCAGCCACAGAGAAUUUGGAAAGAAAAGCUGAUCCUAGUGAGAAAAGGCAGCCACAGCUGGAAAUACACUACAGACAGGCUCACGGAGGCUCCAGGCCAAGAAGUAAUCCCCAUCAGCAGAACAGCACCUAGAGUGAAGCAGUUUCAGGUCAGAACACCUAUCUGAUCCAUGUCUGCUAACCACACAAGGAACAAUUAUCAUUGAAAAAUCUGGAAGCAACUCUGGAAAAGUACCAUUGGAUCAGAUGGGUUUCAACACAGAGAAGGGAAAGAAAUGCUUCUACUGUUUUCAAAUUGAACACCAGUUCUCAUGCUUCACUUGAGAACCAAAUACUACAUCUGGGCUACUUGCUGGCUGUGAUACCAUCUCCUCCUCUAGUCCAACUUAACUCCAUCACUAUCCAGUUUGAGGUGGCAGGGGGGAAAUGACAAUUGAAAAUAUUUAAAGGGAAAUAUUGUUUUGAUUUAGAAACAGAUAGGAAAAAUUGUUGAGAACAUUUAUUCUUCAUUUAAACUUCCAUUUUUAUGUACUAUGUAUUUGCUUAAAACAUUGGGCAGCUUCACAUGACAUGCUAAAAGCUGACCUAUGGAUACCCGGAGUUUGGUGGCAAGCCCGACUUCCAGAGGGGACAAUAUGCCGACAUGCCAAUGAUAUGCCGACAAUGUUGGCAUAUUCUGGAACUCACAUCUGUAACUGAAGAUUGGUUAUAGAUGCCAGUUGCAGAACCAAAGGCCGCAAGUCAAGUAGAACAACUGGAAUGUUCUUCUUGACUCACUCAGUACGGUCAAUGUCGACAUACUCCUUCCUCCAACAGAAAUUGGGCUUGCUGUCAAACUCUGGGAACCACCACCAAACAAAUAGUGUAAAGGAUCUGAAAUGAAGAAUCCAAAAAGACUGAUCCAACAAUAUAACAGAAAGAAAAACAAAUAUAUAUAUAUAAAAUAUAAAUUAUAUUGGAAAUUGAGUAAUCAUCUAAACAUGGUACUCUCAGGAAUCUUUGAAGAGAAUUAUCGCAUCAUAAGAGAAGACCUGCAGUCCCCCAUGAAAAAGAUUUAUUCCACAACAUUGAAGUUCUGAAGAAGGUCUUAUUGAAAUUUCUGGAAAAAUAUAUGAACUUUUAUUAAGACUUGAAAAAGACACCUGAAACAACGUUAUUACCGAGGUGCUGUUGUUCGCACAUUUAUUUAUUUAUUUAUUAGAAGCAUUUAAUAUACCGCCCACUCCAAAGACUCCAGGCAAUGUUUUUUCAUUUAGUUCGUUCAUUUGAUGGGCUACUAUUCCAUUCUCCUGUUCAAUUCUUUGUUGUUGGAUGUAUUUUAUAUUUUGCCAGCAAACUUGCCUUACAUGAUUUAUUUAUACUACCAUGUUUAGAUUAUUACUCAACUUCCAAUAUAGUUUAUAUUUAUAUAUUUGUUUGUUGUUUUUCUUUCUGUUAUAUUAUCGAAUCCGUCAGUUUACUUUUUAAACUCUGGGAACUGGCAGCUUGGCUUUUAGUGUAUUGUGUGACAUUGUUAUCCUGCCUUUCAAUAAAACAUUUUAAAGGUGACUUACAA
Molecule: long non-coding RNA, 1591 nt
Organism: Hemicordylus capensis (graceful crag lizard)
Lineage: Eukaryota; Metazoa; Chordata; Lepidosauria; Squamata; Cordylidae
Exons: 4
Source: RefSeq, a predicted model, not a curated record